CCUACGGGGGGCAGCAGUAGGGAAUCUUUCACAAUGGGCGAAAGCCUGAUGGAGCAACGCCGCGUGCAGGAUGAAGGCCUUCGGGUUGUAAACUUCUUUUAUAAGCGAGAAAUAUGAUGGUAACUUAUGAAUAAGGAUCGUCUAACUACUUGUCAGCAGCCGCGGUCAUACGUAGGAUCCGAGCAUUAUCCGGAGUGACUGGGGGUAAAGAGUUGCGUAUGUGGCAUAAUAAGUAGCUAGGGGAAUCUGGUGGCUCGACCAAUCAGACUAUUAUCUAAACUGUUAAGCUCGAGAACGUUAGGGGUAACUGGAAUUGCUAGUGUAGGAGUGAAAUCCGUAGAUAUUAGAAGGAACACCAAUAGCGAAGGCAGGUUGCUGGGACGGUUCUGACGCUAAGGCACGAAAGCGUAGGGAGCAAACGGGAUUAGAGACCCGGGUAGUC
RNAcentral lists this ribosomal RNA (442 nucleotides) under uncultured bacterium. RNAcentral describes it as "partial 16S ribosomal RNA". It matches the Rfam family "Bacterial small subunit ribosomal RNA", at positions 338 to 795 of the family's 1533-position model. The record is from RNAcentral.